AUACGUAGGGGGCGAGCGUUGUCCGGAAUGAUUGGGCGUAAAGGGCGCGUAGGCGGCCCGGUAAGUCUGGAGUGAAAGUCCUGUUUUUAAGAUGGGAAUUGCUUUGGAUACUGUCGGGCUUGAGUGCAGGAGAGGUAAGUGGAAUUCCCAGUGUAGCGGUGAAAUGCGUAGAGAUUGGGCGGAACACCAGUGGCGAAGGCGACUUACUGGACUGUAACUGACGCUGAGGCGCGAAAGUGUGGGGAGCAAACAGGAUUAGAUACCCUGGUAGUCCACACUGUAAACGAUGAAUGCUAGGUGUAGGGGGUAUCGACCCCUUCUGUGCCGCAGUCAACACAAUAAGCAUUCCGCCUGGGGAGUACGGCCGCAAGGUUGAAACUCAAAUGAAUUGACGGGG
RNAcentral lists this ribosomal RNA (397 nucleotides) under uncultured bacterium. RNAcentral's name for it is "partial 16S ribosomal RNA". It matches the Rfam family "Bacterial small subunit ribosomal RNA", at positions 523 to 918 of the family's 1533-position model. The record is from RNAcentral.